UUUGUAUCUGAUCAAUCCAGCUGUCGUGUCUCUGCAAGUGAAACCAAAAGCUCAGGUGGUCAGUGAGCUGUUUCAGACCUCCGUCACACAACUGAAAACUGAGGUCAUAAGCGUUGAUUCCAGCACGACUAUGGUCCUUAGCCGGGACCCGAAGGAAUCGGUGUGUGAAGUGUGCACCGCUGAAGGCCCCACUCUCACCUGCAGCACGGAAAAGACGCUGAACAAUGUUGACAAACUGUCAUUGGUGUUCAGCUGCCCGAAACCUCAAGAUGGGUUCAAUGUGAAGAUAAAAAAGACAAUAGAAUGCACCAAGACUUCCUGC
This is a long non-coding RNA of Oreochromis aureus, 322 nucleotides long. Lineage: Eukaryota; Metazoa; Chordata; Actinopteri; Cichliformes; Cichlidae. The record is from Ensembl.